RNAcentral lists this ribosomal RNA (797 nucleotides) under uncultured bacterium. RNAcentral's name for it is "bacterial SSU rRNA". It matches the Rfam family "Bacterial small subunit ribosomal RNA", at positions 55 to 846 of the family's 1533-position model. The record is from RNAcentral.
AUGCAAGUCGAGCGGGGGAGGUUGCUUCGGUAACUGACCUAGCGGCGGACGGGUGAGUAAUGCUUAGGAAUCUGCCUAUUAGUGGGGGACAACGUUUCGAAAGGGACGCUAAUACCGCAUACGUCCUACGGGAGAAAGCAGGGGACCUUCGGGCCUUGCGCUAAUAGAUGAGCCUAAGUCGGAUUAGCUAGUUGGUGGGGUAAAGGCCUAGCAAGGCGACGAUCUGUAGCGGGUCUGAGAGGAUGAUCCGCCACACUGGGACUGAGACACGGCCCAGACUCCUACGGGAGGCAGCAGUGGGGAAUAUUGGACAAUGGGGGGAACCCUGAUCCAGCCAUGCCGCGUGUGUGAAGAAGGCCUUUUGGUUGUAAAGCACUUUAAGCGAGGAGGAGGCUACUUAGAUUAAUACUCUGGGAUAGUGGACGUUACUCGCAGAAUAAGCACCGGCUAACUCUGUGCCAGCAGCCGCGGUAAUACAGAGGGUGCGAGCGUUAAUCGGAUUUACUGGGCGUAAAGCGUGCGUAGGCGGCUUUUUAAGUCGGAUGUGAAAUCCCUGAGCUUAACUUAGGAAUUGCAUUCGAUACUGGGAAGCUAGAGUAUGGGAGAGGAUGGUAGAAUUCCAGGUGUAGCGGUGAAAUGCGUAGAGAUCUGGAGGAAUACCGAUGGCGAAGGCAGCCAUCUGGCCUAAUACUGACGCUGAGGUACGAAAGCAUGGGGAGCAAACAGGAUUAGAUACCCUGGUAGUCCAUGCCGUUAACGAUGUCUACUAGCCGUUGGGGCCUUUGAGGCUUUAGUGG